Molecule: long non-coding RNA, 2143 nt
Organism: Cylas formicarius (sweet potato weevil)
Lineage: Eukaryota; Metazoa; Arthropoda; Insecta; Coleoptera; Brentidae
Exons: 3
Source: RefSeq, a predicted model, not a curated record
AACGAAGGUUGUUCAUUUUGAUUAAUGCUGUCGUUGCGGUAAUAAGGAGGAGGCGUGUGAGAAUGGGACGAUACAGUUGAUGCAGAAGAAAGCAUGUUGCAAACCCCUGGAUUUUUCCUGCGCCGUUUGUUGAUGAAUCGAACUUGCUGACGUUUCGUCAAUCAUCCUGUUGGCGUCUUGAGAGCUUAACUAAAACCGACGCAGGAGGAAAAUUUCUACACACGACAAUAUUUCCGCAAGUGCUCCUUUUUCAAACUACACUGUGUUAAACUAAGAAAACCGGCGUUCAUUUUGUGUCGAUAAUAUUCAUUACAACUCCCUAUGGGAUGUCACUAGACUAAACAGAGGUUAAUGCAGUUAUUAAUUAUAACCCAAAUAUCACAAGGACGUUCGUAAAACGUCCUCGGGACAUCUGACGGCACCUAGCGUAUACCCUAAGGAUAUACUGUUGCAGCUAAGGGACAUCCUUAAGACGUCUCAAGGAUAUACGAUGAUACUAAUUGGAACGUCCACAGUAUAUCAGAUACGUAUGUCCGGAGGAUAUUUGUUAGAACAUCCUAAGGAUAUCCAGUUAUACUAGUUAAGAGGUUGUUAAUAUAUCCGACUGUGAGGAUACAGGAUCUUAUAUAGAUAUACCAGAAGACCUUACUUAUUAGGUUAUUUCCAACACACUAUGAGAAAUACUGGAAAGGUAUGUCCAGUAGUCCAAUUGGUUGUACGACUAUAAAAAUUCUAUCCCAGUACUCGCGUGUGAUGGAAUUCACCUAUUGGGUAUAGUUGGUUAAGUCAUCACAGGCGAUAUUUGAAAUGCACAAGUUUUUUUCAAUUAAUAUUUAAUCUUUAAUUUUGCUUUUGAUGAUAAAAGUGAAUUACUGCCGAUUGAUAAAACAAAUUUUUUUCUAAUGUAGAUAUAUAAUAGUAGGUAUGGUCUCUUCAUAGAUAUAAGAAAGUGACCAAUUGCUUUUGAAUGGGAUUAUGCAAGGGUGGUCAUUAACAUAAAAUGCAACAAGAUUAUUACCUAAAGUUUCGGAAUUUUAAUUCAGGUACAAUUGUGGUCCGUAAUAAAAAAUUGAAAAGAAGUUGAUUUUAAAGGUUUGAUUCCGUUUUUUUUUUAGGACUUGCCAACAUUGACGUCGAUGUAGAUGUACACAAAAACGUUGGCAAUACUUAAAUGUUCGGGGCAUAUAACUCAAUAAAAUGUAUCACAAAACACCACAAAUCUAAAAAAACUGAGUAUUUUCAGUUGUUCAAAAUACUUAAAUGUUCAAAAUUCAUUUAUUUAUUACACAGAAAGCGAAAUAAAGUUUUAUUGAGACUAGCCGAUACAAAGGCUCGAAUAAUUAAGAGCAAUAUUACAAUAGACAAUUGAGUAAACAGGGCUUUCGAUGCGGUGUCAGCAAUCCGUUAUCUUCGCUUAGCUUUGGGUUUCGUCUGCAGUUUGGGACAUAUAACUAAAUUUAAGUUUUUAGGUUUCAUUUUGUUUUACGGGUUUUCACUUUUUUGCCUUAUUUCUAUUCUAAUGUUCCCAUUAUGGCGCAAGGGGAUAUCCUCAGGUCAUCUAUUUGGGGGAUAUCUGUGGUAUAUCGUGUACAAUAAAUCCGCAAGCUAUCCAUUCAGAGGAUAUCCCUGGGAUGUAUUUUACAGUAUAUUCUUAAUAUAUAUGCUAACGUAUAUCCUAAGAAUAUCCUCGACAUGUCCCGGGACAUGCGACUUGAAUGGGACAUUGACCGGAUAUACUGGGGAUAUUGUGUGCUAUCUGGGAACAGUGCUUCAACCAUGCACAUGCACCCAACGAAUCAAAAUCCAAAGAAUUGAGCGUUUUCUAUUUUAUUUUGAAGCCGGGAAAAAAAACAAAAGUUUAAAAAAAAAAAACAAAAAACUUAUCAAGCGCAACUUUUGCCUACCAUUAUUAAGAAUUGUAUAAUAAGUAUUUAUCCGUUUGUUUCAUUAUGUCGCUUCGUUCAUUUACCUUAACUGGAAAGUAUUGUUUUGAGGAACGAUGUUGUAGACUGUAAUUUUGUAAGUAUUUCUCACGAUUGUUUUAAUUGUCUGUUAUAUAGUUUGACCUGUUGUUUUCAUUAAAUUUUAGUUCACUCCUGAAGAAGUCAACAAAUAAAUUAACGAAAUAUUGAGUGUUAAAGAA